UUGUAGCCUUGCACCGUUGUGCGACGGUUGUGCCUGGUCCUUUCUUUGACUAGUUUUUUUCCUCGUUCUGAUACUUGUGGUAGUCGAAUAACUUUCAUGUGGGUUUUUUUCCAAUUCUGGUGAGCGUCAUGUGCUACAGCCACAGGACAGGUGCUGCAGUAUGAUAAUGUUUAGAAUAGAGGCAAGAAUGUCAGACGCGUGAGGCCGGUUCAACAGAGCAAUAGGAACUCAGCUGCCAGCCAGUGCUUUUUCUUCGCGUGCACAAAAUACAGCCGAAGCACAACGCGACUAGUUACGAAGACGCGAAACUUCAGUUUGCUGGAUAUUUCGAAAGGCCGAGAGCCGUUCUCAGACUGCCAUAGCCCAUACUCCGAAUCCGUUAUCCUCGCAAGCGUUCCCGAUGCUCGGCGGAACUAACGUGACUUGAGCCUUCAAUGAAGACAAUCAUGCUGAUUUCCAUCGCUAAGAGAAGAGAAAAAUGCAUGUGUCGACUCGUAUUCGCUGUGUCGCAUUCUUAGAGCUUGGUGGUUCGGUGAGCGAAGUCCAAGAAGACAUAGCGAGUGUGGGCUUGUACUGUGUGUGGAUUGUCGAAAUUUGUCGCGCAGUCCCCCGACCAGCCGGAUGCCGGACAACGAACACUCCGCACACAGCUGACGGCCAGCACCUUCGCUACUGCUUGACUCAACCGAUGGAACGGCACAUACUUUAUAAAUGAGAUAUGCCCAACGCUAUUUUAUGAGAUUCAGACGUAGAUCUACGGAUGAGUGAUGGGGCGAUGAGCAGAGAUUACUAGUACCUUGAGAGCCUAGUGGCCUGCAGUAUUGAACUCAUAGAAGCCAAGUGGACAUCACCCUGGCCUGUAUCAAGUGCUUGACGCACAUGGGUCAACAGACUGGUGAAGAAAAACUGGUGUGUAAAUCCCUUGUCCAGAAGUCUAAACAACCCGACGUGGAAAGUAUGGUAGCAGAGGGCAAGAAGAAGGCUGCAAGCAGCCAGCAGCAAGGAGACUUGAAAAAAAGCAAAAUUUUCUAUAUAAUAGCCAUCCCUAGCCCCGACCACCAUCCCCUAGGGAAAUAUUGAAUUUAUAGCUGCCUACCCGUGUCUGUUGUUCACGCCGAAGCACCGCCUAAACUACCCUAGCCUAUCACGAAGUGCUAGUUGUGGUGUGGAAAUUCGCAUCACUUCCAUCCCACUCCAGAUGCUAUUGACUUGCCGCUUCGGACUUGGUAUUGAAUGUAUUCAUAUUGAUUUUAUAUGCAACCAAGAAUACUUUAUUGAUAAAACUAUACCAGUAGCUGGCCAUUUUAACGAGGUGCCCUGGUUCGAGUCCUGGUGGUGACAGUCAAUUGUUUCAGGCUUUUCCCAUUUUCAACUCCCUCAACCUUAUGACUGCAACAGAGUAUGUAUAUGCAUUUUAAAUGCAAGAGGCAUUGGGGAUUUUCAUAGGCAAAACGUGAAUGAGUGCUUUCCGUUGCAUCAUCACCACCGCUCGCCUGCGUCUUCAUCGUUGAGGGUGGUGGCGUUCCAGGGUAUACAGACAACUCACUCUGACUAACCUUUGCUGUUUUAAUACCAUGGUGUUCUUUGAUGCAGAGGAUUAUGUCACAUAGCCUAACCCAAUUUAUCCCUCCCGUUCAUGAUACUCGUCAGGAAAUAGACAUGACAAAUCCAUUAUGUUGUCCAAUGCAUAUCCAACAAUUAAACAUGCCACAAAUCACACCAAAGUGGUUGACUGGAACCCAAUCUCGUAGCUCAAUCAUGCUCUGGUUGUGGAGUC
Sycon ciliatum is the source of this 1777-nucleotide long non-coding RNA. RefSeq lists it as uncharacterized. The record is from RefSeq and is a predicted model, not a curated record. The transcript has 3 exons. NCBI's taxonomy places the organism in Eukaryota, Metazoa, Porifera, Calcarea, Leucosolenida, Sycettidae.